GAUGAACGCUAGCGGCAGGCUUAAUACAUGCAAGUUGAGGGGCAGCAUGAUAUACGCGAGUAUAUUGAUGGCGACCGGCGGACGGGUGAGUAAUAGGUAGGAGACCUACCUCAUACAGGGGGAUAGCAUAGAGAAAUCUGUGGUAAUACCCCAUGAGGUUAUAUGAAUAGAGGCAUAUAAUCAAAGCAUAAGCGAUUAUGCGGUAUGAGAGGGGCCUACUGACCAUUAGCUAGUUGGUGAGGUAAGGGCUCACCAAGGCGAAGAUGGUUAGGGGUUUUGAGAGAGAGACCCCCCACAUUGGAACUGAGAGACGGUCCAGACUCCUACGGGAGCAGCAGUAGGGAAUAUUGGGCAAUGGGCGAAAGCCUGACCCAGCCAUGCCGCGUGAAGGAAGACGGCCUUAUGGGUUAGUAAACCUUCUUUACUACGCGAAUAGAGGUUAGUACGAGAUACUAAUAGGAAGGUAGUAGUAGUAAAAGCAACCGGCUAACGUCCGUAG
RNAcentral lists this ribosomal RNA (499 nucleotides) under uncultured bacterium. RNAcentral describes it as "bacterial SSU rRNA". It matches the Rfam family "Bacterial small subunit ribosomal RNA", at positions 28 to 514 of the family's 1533-position model. The record is from RNAcentral.